GACGAACGCUGGCGGCGUGCUUAACACAUGCAAGUCGAACGGUGAAGCUCCAGCUUGCUGGAGUGGAUCAGUGGCGAACGGGUGAGUAACACGUGAGCAACCUGCCCCUGACUCUGGAAUAAGCGCUGGAAACGGCGUCUAAUACUGGAUACGAGAAGGGUCCGCAUGGGCACUUUCUGGAAAGUUUUUCGGUUGGGGAUGGGCUCGCGGCCUAUCAGCUUGUUGGUGAGGUAAUGGCUCACCAAGGCGACGACGGGUAGCCGGCCUGAGAGGGCGACCGGCCACACUGGGACUGAGACACGGCCCAGACUCCUACGGGAGGCAGCAGUGGGGAAUAUUGCACAAUGGGCGAAAGCCUGAUGCAGCGACGCCGCGUGAGGGAUGACGGCCUUCGGGUUGUAAACCUCUUUCAGCAUGGAAGAAGCGAAAGUGACGGUACCUGCAGAAGAAGCACCGGCUAACUACGU
Molecule: ribosomal RNA, 467 nt
Filed under: uncultured bacterium
Lineage: Bacteria
Description: partial 16S ribosomal RNA
Rfam family: Bacterial small subunit ribosomal RNA
Source: RNAcentral